GUCACCUGUCAGUGGAUUUAAUGUUAUGGUUGAUUGGUGCAUGUUACAGCAGCUAUUAAAAAUGGUUUCCUCCCCAGCUUCUCUUUUUAUUCUCUCUUAAAGUUAAAACUUAAUGUCACAGCUUUAACUCUGAUUGAUACAAAGUGCUGACACUGGAGACUCCUUCCAUAAUGGUGUAAUAAACGUCUCCUUCCAGAAAAGUUCAUCAUACGAACAAUUACUUUUUGUUUUUAAACUAUUUAUGUGGAGUAUUCACAAUACAAGUUACUUUGAAUGAGCUGUGACUAUAAAAACAAUGACGUAUUAAAACAAGCACAUUAAUAUAAACAUGAGUUUGCAGCUGAACUACUUUAUAGGGGGAAAAAUCAACCAGUCAGAAUCAAGCAUUCAACAGCACUGAGGUAUAAAAGGUCAGUGGUCAGUUGUGAAUGGUUUGUAUUUUUCUUGUAAAUUUGUAUUGUAAUGCUGUGGGUGUACAUGAGGCUGCUUUUCAGCACAUAAAGAGUGAAGGAGAUUUUAGAAAAAAGUUGUGGUCAGAGCGCUUCCGCUCUCCUGCAUCUAAAACACAACUGAAGUGUUUCCUGACUGAAGCAGAACGAUUUCAGAGUGCUUCUUAACAGGGUUCCAGAGUCAGCAUGACAAUGGUACUUUGGUUCUGUGAGUAAAGUUGUUAAUUCACCAUUUUACCUUAGAAGUUAUUUAUCUCUUUGAACAGAUGAGUGGAUUCUAAACCACUGAUGUGUGGUGUUGUUUUUUACUAGAUCUACUUGUGUGCUGUGGAGCUGCAGAAGGUUUCACAGAGAAGUCGGUAAAUUUGGGACAAAAUGUGACUCUAAAGUGUGAGGUCUCUGUAAGAGAUGUGUUCUGGUUCCUGAUCAAGCCAUCAGAAUCUCUGGUGUUUAUAUUACGCUCUUACUCGAGUAUUAUCCUGGAGCCAGUAUACAGCAACUUGACCUUCAGCAAGAUAUACUCAGUGCAAUAUAACAGCAGUUUAUUUAUACACAAUAUCAGUACUAAUGAAUUAGGAGUAUAUUAUUGUAUUCAAACUGGUUCACCUUACAAAAUCAGCCGUGGAAUCAGACUUUACAUCCGGAAUCAUUCAGCUGGUGAGUUUAUUUAAAGUAAAGUUACAGUAAUAUCCUUUAAUAACCGUGUUGAACAGGUUUUUGAUUGAAGUGACUUUUGUUUUAUUUCAAUUCUAGUGUAGAAAUGAUUUGAUUGUGUAUGCAUUUCUGUUGACAACUCCAAGAACUUAUAGUUCAAAAAAAUUAUAGCAUUUCUGAUUUUCUGGGAUUUUUUAAAAUAAUAUGAUUUAAAAAAAAUAAUAAUUACAACUGCCCAUUACUGCCAAGUUAUUAUAUACAGUACAUUAUUGUCUUAUUAGCCUGUUUGACUGCUCACUUGAAUGGAAUAGCCGUUACCUUAAAUCUAAUAUGUUCUGUCAGUGGAAAGAUGAAAAACAGAAAUCUCUACAGUGCCGAGAAAUAUUAAUAUUACAAAAUAUUAUUCUACAAAUGUAAUUAAUAAGCUGUACCGAAGGCGUCCUUGGAAUUUGAUUUUACAUCUAAAGUGGUACCUGUCUGUGUUAAAACUUUGAGGACCCACAAUGCAGACCUUCAUCCGUGUCUGAUACAAAAUCCAUUGUAGAUAAACUAGUGUGCAUAGUGGAAUUAAAACUGUCUGAAUUUUCCAAAUUGUUUCCAGAUAAUCGGACAGGCAGCAAAGAAGCCGUCCUCUUGCCGAUUCUCAUCAUAUCAGUAAUAAUGAUCUUUGUUCUGGCCGUUCCAGUUGCAGUUCGUCACUGCAGAAGAUUUCGAAAAACUCGAGCACAACCUUCAGAUCCUGGUUUACAGUCGCGUCAGGACAGUACCGACCAUGUGGUAGGCUAACUGCUCUUUCUUUUGGCCUUUUGCUUUUGUUUGAUUGUUUUUUAACAAUACGUUAAAUGAUUUUCCAAUUUAAAACUUCAUGCGCUUACACCCAGGUCAUUUUCACCUGAUUAAUUAAAUUAAAUGAUAAAAUAAACUGUCCUGCAAUCAGGAAGAUCCCCGGGUGUGGUAGUGUCUACUGUGGACUCCGUUUCCAUCAGUGUAGUUUAUUGUAAUCAUUGAGAUGAAUUAGAUGAUCGAGUCGUUGUAGAUGUGGGUACGGUGCCUGCUGCAGCGAAGACGGAAAGUCCCACGUUUGAAAGCUGCAUCGUGCUUAAUCUCACUGUAAUUAAUCUUCUUUAUAAUGUGCUCAAUAAAACAAAAAACUGUUUACAGGCUGAAAACAUAAAUAGAUUAACGUGAACUGAAAGUAAGGAGGCGUAAAUAAAUAUUUGGUAUAUUUGGAAAUAAUCCUGUUACUAGUACAUUUUAAAAGUACUUUUAAAAAUCCAAUUGAUUUGUACACUUUAUAAUUCCUGUGCUGUGGUGUACAUACAGUGCUGUGGUUAUAUGUACAAUACAAACAGUUCACACACCAGGACGGCUCUGCUCUUACACUGCAGUGUGAAAAAACAUGGUUUGUUUUAGACACGUCCAUAAGUGUGUGAACUUUGUCAUACUUCAGUUUCACACACUAAUGUACUACAUUUAAUAUUUUUUUCCACCACCGUGUCGCGUCUUGAUCAUAUGCAUUAACGUAUUAAAGUUGCUUUUAUUAAUCCUGUCACAUCGCAUCAUUCUUUCAGUACGCCGAGGUGCAGUUCAGCACGACGAACGGACCCGUCAGGACGGCUAACCUUGACAGCACGUACGCUCUUGUAAAUCUGUGACCCGGAGUGACCCCACGCAACACCUUGGACCACACGUGACGUUUUAUCAUAUUCAUAAAGAAGGCCCGUUUCUGCAGCUUCCGUGUAUGGACAAUUCGCAAAUGAUUCGUUUGUAAAAACCAGAUGAACUGAUUCACAAGCAUGAACAAAUCUUUUUUAUUUUUAUUUUUUAAGGCCUAAAUUUAUAGAUGUGCUUUUGUAGAUGCUAUUCGAGUUGCUAAUCAAAAAACUCACAUUGUUAAGAGUCACUUAAUGAGAUGAUUUGGAAGAUUCAAAUCACUUAAGUGAGUCAUUGGACUGAAAUGAGUCAUGCUUCAAACCCUGAUAAUGUUUAAUUAGUGUUUGUACUAGAGUGUCAGCCAUUUUGAGAAACAUUUUACAAAAGGCGGCGUGGGGGUGGGGUUGGGGGGCCAGGCAUUGCCGUCUAUCUCUCGCAGGACAAGAUAUUUUCCCAUAAUGCCCUGGCAGUGUUUCAGUUAUGCUGCAUUUAGACUGACCUCGUUAGUGUAGGAAGUUGGAAGUUACAUCAUUUUCGACCUCUGUGCAUUCAGGCUACAAUGUGGGGGGAAACCAUGGACGCCUCCAUGCCAGCUAACUGCGAUGAGUAUAGAAAAUAUCUAUGAAGUGUAAUCAAUAUGUGUAACUAACAUUUGGAUAUGUUAAUGAAGUGUAAUCAAUAUGUAACCAACAUUUAGAAUUAUUACUUAAGCAUAAUCGAAUAAUCAAUAUUAGUUAAAAAGCAUAACCUAUAUGCAUAAUCAAUAGUUAGAAGCAUAAUCUAAAUCCAUAGAACAAUGUUUGAUCAAGUUAUAUUCUGAGUGUGUGUUGAGUUAGAUGAACUCUGGUGUCUUACUGUACACUAAUUGUUCUUUCUGUACCAGCCGGUAUCCUCCUCCACAGAAGCAGAUAUAACUUUGAGGCCGAUACCAAUUAAUGAGCUAGGGGAAGGCUUGGGGAAAAAAGGCGAGUGUGGAUCAAGGUCAGGACACAAGCCUGUGUGAAACCUUUUUUUUUUAAAAAGAAGAAACAACCAUGACCUCAUGAAAUCGUAACUGCGCAUGCUCCACAAAUUUAAGAUAACACAUAGACAUGAAUAUUUAUUUGUGGCAAAGAAGAUUGGUCUGUUUUCAUGAGGUAAGGCAAAACCCCACCUACAAUGACUACACAUGGAGGAAGGUAUAUAAAAUGCUGUGUGUGCUUGCAUAAUUCGGACUUUCUGCAGACUGUCACACUUUAUUGUUUCAAUAAAGUUUAUUUACUUUUUGACAUCUACUAAA
This is a long non-coding RNA of Ictalurus furcatus (blue catfish), 4035 nucleotides long. RefSeq lists it as uncharacterized. The transcript is spliced from 2 exons. The record is from RefSeq and is a predicted model, not a curated record. Lineage: Eukaryota; Metazoa; Chordata; Actinopteri; Siluriformes; Ictaluridae.